GGGGAAUAUUGGACAAUGGGCGGAAGCCUGAUCCAGCAACGCCGCGUGAGGGAUGACGGCCUUCGGGUUGUAAACCUCUUUUGGUAGGGACGAAGCGUGAGUGACGGUACCUACUAAAGAAGCACCGGCCAACUACGUGCCAGCAGCCGCGGUAAUACGUAGGGGGCGGGCGUUGUCCGGAUUUAUUGGGCGUAAAGAGCUCGUAGGCGGUUCGGUAAGUCGGAUGUGAAAUCUCCACGCUCAACGUGGAGAGGCCAUUCGAUACUGCCGUGACUCGAGUCCGGUAGGGGAGUGUGGAAUUCCCGGUGUAGCGGUGAAAUGCGCAGAGAUCGGGAGGAACACCCGUAGCGAAGGCGGCACUCUGGGCCGGAACUGACGCUGAGGAGCGAAAGCGUGGGGAGCAAA
This 405-nucleotide ribosomal RNA is filed under the name uncultured bacterium. Its description in RNAcentral is "bacterial SSU rRNA". It matches the Rfam family "Bacterial small subunit ribosomal RNA", at positions 356 to 772 of the family's 1533-position model. The record is from RNAcentral.